GAUGAACGCUAGCGGCAGGCUUAAUACAUGCAAGUCGAGGGGCAUCAAGGUACACGAAAGUGUAUUGUUGGCGACCGGCGGACGGGUGAGUAAUAGGUAGGUAACCUACCUCAUACUGAGGCAUAGCUGGGAGAAAUUCCAGGUAAUUCCUCAUGAGGUUAUAUGACACAUGUGAUAUAAUCAAAGGUAUCGCAAGGUACUGGUAUGAGAUGGGCUUACUGACCAUUAGCUAGUUGGUGAGAUAAGAGCUCACCAAGGCGAAGAUGGUUAGGGGUUUUGAGAGAGAGAUCCCCCACAUUGGAACUGAGAUACGGUCCAGACUCCUACGGGAGGCAGCAGUAGGGAAUAUUGGGCAAUGGGCGGAAGCCUGACCCAGCCAUGCCGCGUGAAGGAAGACGGCCUUAUGGGUUGUAAACUUCUUUACUAUGCGACUAACUAGAUUUACGGGAUAAUUCUAUAGAAUGUAGCAUAGCAAAAGCAACCGG
RNAcentral lists this ribosomal RNA (485 nucleotides) under uncultured bacterium. RNAcentral describes it as "bacterial SSU rRNA". It matches the Rfam family "Bacterial small subunit ribosomal RNA", at positions 28 to 496 of the family's 1533-position model. The record is from RNAcentral.